This is a microRNA precursor of Colobus angolensis palliatus, 93 nucleotides long. The record is from Ensembl. Lineage: Eukaryota; Metazoa; Chordata; Mammalia; Primates; Cercopithecidae.
UAUUAGGUUGGUACAAAAGCAAUCGCGGUUUUUGCAAUUAUUUUCAAUGACAAUGGCAAAAACCACAACGAGUUUUGCACCAACCUAAUAGAA